Molecule: ribosomal RNA, 305 nt
Filed under: uncultured bacterium
Lineage: Bacteria
Description: bacterial SSU rRNA
Rfam family: Bacterial small subunit ribosomal RNA
Source: RNAcentral
UGUCCUACGGGAGGCAGCAGUGGGGAAUAUUGCACAAUGGGGGAAACCCUGAUGCAGCGACGCCGCGUGAGUGAAGAAGUAAUUCGUUAUGUAAAGCUCUAUCAGCAGGGAAGAAAAUGACGGUACCUGAGUAAGAAGCCCCGGCUAACUAUGUGCCAGCAGCCGCGGUAAUACAUAGGGAGCAAGCGUUAUCCGGAAUUAUUGGGUGUAAAGGGUGCGUAGACGGGAAAUUAAGUUAGUUGUGAAAUCCCUUGGCUUAACUGAGGAACUGCAACUAAAACUGAUUUUCUUGAGUACUGGAGAGG